GCCGCCAUAGUUCAAUGGACAGAACGAGCGCCUCCUAAGCGCUAGAUACAGGUUCGAUUCCUGUUGGUGGCGCCA
Molecule: transfer RNA, 75 nt
Filed under: Hydrogenophaga sp.
Lineage: Bacteria; Pseudomonadati; Pseudomonadota; Betaproteobacteria; Burkholderiales; Comamonadaceae
Description: tRNA-Arg
Rfam family: tRNA
About the family: Transfer RNA (tRNA) molecules are approximately 80 nucleotides in length. Their secondary structure includes four short double-helical elements and three loops (D, anti-codon, and T loops).
Source: RNAcentral